RNAcentral lists this ribosomal RNA (477 nucleotides) under uncultured organism. RNAcentral describes it as "partial 16S ribosomal RNA". It matches the Rfam family "Bacterial small subunit ribosomal RNA", at positions 329 to 797 of the family's 1533-position model. The record is from RNAcentral.
ACGUUCACUCCUACGGGAGGCAGCAGUGGGGAAUAUUGCACAAUGGGCGCAAGCCUGAUGCAGCCAUGCCGCGUGUAUGAAGAAGGCCUUCGGGUUGUAAAGUACUUUCAGCGGGGAGGAAGGCGAUAAGGUUAAUAACCUUGUUGAUUGACGUUACCCGCAGAAGAAGCACCGGCUAACUCCGUGCCAGCAGCCGCGGUAAUACGGAGGGUGCAAGCGUUAAUCGGAAUUACUGGGCGUAAAGCGCACGCAGGCGGUCUGUCAAGUCGGAUGUGAAAUCCCCGGGCUCAACCUGGGAACUGCAUUCGAAACUGGCAGGCUAGAGUCUUGUAGAGGGGGGUAGAAUUCCAGGUGUAGCGGUGAAAUGCGUAGAGAUCUGGAGGAAUACCGGUGGCGAAGGCGGCCCCCUGGACAAAGACUGACGCUCAGGUGCGAAAGCGUGGGGAGCAAACAGGAUUAGAUACCCCGGUAGUCCCA